AGCACGGUGGUGCAGUGGUCAGCACUGUUGACUUGCCAGGAGGUUACGGGUUCAAGUCCCGGCUGGCUG
Molecule: transfer RNA, 69 nt
Filed under: Anguilla anguilla (European eel)
Lineage: Eukaryota; Metazoa; Chordata; Actinopteri; Anguilliformes; Anguillidae
Description: tRNA-OTHER
Source: RNAcentral